GAGGGGGUGAAUCAAAAUAACACAAAACAUAACAACAUCAUGAAGAGGAGUAGUUUUUAAACAUCAGGUUUAUUCCUAAACUAUACAUUAUUCUUCUAUUGUUCUACACAAAUCACAUUCCUUUGCACAAAUAGAUUUUGUCGCUAAAGUAGCAUAAAGAUUUAAGCAUAUAAAAUAAUACAUUCUUAUAGAGAUCUAAAUUAAAUAUACAUUAAUAAUAUAAUUCAACGUAUGGUUAUAUCUGCACAAUAAAAUUUGUCUUACAUUAUACAGGAUUUCUACAAUGGAUAAACAGAUUAUAGAUCAACGUCAUCGAACUUCCUUGAAUAAUUGUCAAGGUAAAUUAUUGAUGCUAAAUUAAAUAAUUUUAUUUCUUUACUAUUCUUAGCUAUAUUAAAACUACAAUUCGUCUUUUUUUACAGAUGUAAAACAACCGGAAACUUCCAUGGAUGAGAUGUAUACAAGAAUCACACAAAUGCGGAUAGAAUAUUUGAAGUAUGAACAAGUACAACUUAGACACGAAUUAUAUAAAGGAGUAUUACCAAAUAAAUCAUGCAAAGAAUGACUAUCUGUAUAUUCGAAUAUUAUGUUAUUGCAUUUACAAAAUUUAAGCU
RNAcentral lists this long non-coding RNA (614 nucleotides) under Nicotiana tabacum (common tobacco). RNAcentral's name for it is "long non-coding RNA (NTAB_LNC003156)". The record is from RNAcentral. Lineage: Eukaryota; Viridiplantae; Streptophyta; Magnoliopsida; Solanales; Solanaceae.